AAAGGCAUAAAACCAAAAAAAAACACUAAAGCCUUUCUGGUCCUUUCUGGUAUUGCACUAACGGGACGAAGGAGCUCUGGGCAGCAGCAGACUGAAGAUGCAGAACAGCAACAGUGGACUUCUGUUCCAGUCUGCUGGGGCAGGAGAUUCUGCUCACAUGCAGUGGAUGAGUGGAUUCUCUGUUAAUUCAGUUAUUGAACUCUCUCAUGUGGACCUUCUUAUUAUAUGAAAAACCUCACAUUACACUCCAAGGUAAUGUUAUUUCUCCGGAGCCAAAAACCAGCUUGAAUGUUAAUUCAGUGUUUAACUAACUUUUGGUUCACAGAUUGGAGCAGUGUCUAUUUCCACUUCUCUGUUGCUAACUUCUCACAGUUAGGAAAUUACUGCUGACAGCGGCUCAAAUGCUGUGCCGCACAUUGUUGAGAAAAAGAUGCUUCUUGUCCCUGGACUCUUUCUACCCUGGAUCAGUUUCUGACGAGACAAGCUCUCUGAAUGACAGCUGAAAUAUUUCCGUGCUCUUCUACGAUAGUAUUUCCUGAUGCCAAAACAUCUCCUCCCCUGUCUUCCCGCCCCCAGUUCACUUAACGUCUUGCAAAAUGAGAUGGGCAUUUAGGACGGAUAUUUGAUUGGUACAUGUGCUGUACUGGGAUGAAAUACAGCCUUGUGCCAUUGGGGCUGUAUAUCUUACAAAAAGGAAAAUAUGUGUAUUCUAGCUAACAGACAGCAUGUGGUUAUCACAGAGGUUAAGGGCUCUCUUUGUGUUCCUCGGGAAAUGGGAUCUGAUUUCUCACUGACAGCAGGUGAUGGCAUACAUAACAGUUCAGUAAGGUGAAGCAGUGUCUUAGUUUACAGCUGUAUUUUCCUUGAGCAGGGCUGUUUUGGGCACGGUGUGCCUUGACAGAAGUCUGCUCAGCAGCAUGAUGUACAGCUGCAGUUGCUGAGGAGGUGAAAACGAGCGCUGCCUCUCUUCAGUGCUCUGCAAGCUCUAAUCCCAUUUUGCAAUCCAGGAACCCCAGGGCUGAAGUAUCCUCCAGGUGCUGCACAAUAAAGCUCAGAGCAGGUGCAAGGUUUUAACCUCCCAGUUUCAGCAGUCUUAACUACAACCUCUCGUGCCUUCCAUAAAUAGCUCCACCAGAGCCAUGCUGUGCAGCAUGAUAACUGAAGGGUAUCUCUGUCUCUUUGAAUCCUUGUUCAACAUCUCUUGCGUGAAGUUGGCCACGUAGUCCACCAGGCCCUGUCUAAGAAGCAGGGCAAAUCCUCUGCGUCUGAAAGUAGUUUCAGCUUGCAAAGUACAAAAGGUGACUUAGGUAAAGAGUUGCUUUAUCUCUCACAUAUGCACUCAGGCCGUUAUCCACUGCAGAACUACGUAUCAAGUCACACUUUCUGGAGAAGCAAAAACUUCAUGAGAAAAAAAAUUCAUGAGAAGCUAGCUCUGUCCUGACAUGACUUUGCAAAAGGCUCUGCAGCCAGUCCUCGUUUGCAGCAGAGGUGCUCAGGUGUGUGAGCUCUGCAGGUGGGCUUCAUCAUGACUGAAUGAUCCUAUGAAAAGGCCCCAAGCAUGUCCUGUUUCCUGAGAAAUUCCACCAGAAGCUGAGUGCCAAAAGCAGUGUGACAUGAGAGACCAGCACCUUUACCUUUUUCAGCAGCAGCGAUCCUCUCAGGUUGUAGAAGUCAGUGCCCAACCUCAUUGGCAACAACCAAAUGUGGGAUCAGAGCAGACACCCACCAGCACAAAGUCUUUAUGGCAGACACAUGCAGGCGAACCCUGAACCUCCAAAGAAGAACAAUGACAAGUCAAAGAAGAUCAGUCGUAAGCCUCUGGCAGCCAGGAACAAAUAAGUCUUCAGCUUGUGCCUCCAGUUUUAUAUCUUUAACAUUUCUUUUGCAUGUGCCUGUAAUAUUCCAACACAUCUCCUAUUACUCAUUGUAAGGAAGCAAAGAGUAAAGGUAAAAGCAAUUUACUAUGUGUGCUGCCUUAGAGGAUACUGCUUAAAGAAUACAAAAUCACAUACUUUCCUAACUACGGUCACAUUUAUGUAGCCACUUAAUAUAUCACUGUCAGACACAUUUUAGCUUUUCUAUUUAUACAUAUGUUAAUGCCCUCUGUUCACAUGCAUCACAUCCUGUUAAUAUCGGGGUUUUGCCCUAUAUUAUACGAUAUUAAAUUUCAUAUAAUAUUCCAAACAAUUUUAAUAAAGGUCUCUAUUUGUACUGUG
Non-coding RNA from Meleagris gallopavo (turkey), 2216 nucleotides. The record is from RefSeq and is a predicted model, not a curated record. NCBI's taxonomy places the organism in Eukaryota, Metazoa, Chordata, Aves, Galliformes, Phasianidae.